This 504-nucleotide ribosomal RNA is filed under the name uncultured bacterium. RNAcentral's name for it is "partial 16S ribosomal RNA". It matches the Rfam family "Bacterial small subunit ribosomal RNA", at positions 29 to 523 of the family's 1533-position model. The record is from RNAcentral.
AUUGAACGCUGGCGGCAGGCCUAACACAUGCAAGUCGGACGGUAGCACAGAGAGCUUGCUCUCGGGUGACGAGUGGCGGACGGGUGAGUAAUGUCUGGGGAUCUGCCCGAUAGAGGGGGAUAACCACUGGAAACGGUGGCUAAUACCGCAUAACGUCGCAAGACCAAAGAGGGGGACCUUCGGGCCUCUCACUAUCGGAUGAACCCAGAUGGGAUUAGCUAGUAGGCGGGGUAAUGGCCCACCUAGGCGACGAUCCCUAGCUGGUCUGAGAGGAUGACCAGCCACACUGGAACUGAGACACGGUCCAGACUCCUACGGGAGGCAGCAGUGGGGAAUAUUGCACAAUGGGCGCAAGCCUGAUGCAGCCAUGCCGCGUGUAUGAAGAAGGCCUUCGGGUUGUAAAGUACUUUCAGCGGGGAGGAAGGCGGUGCGGUUAAUAACCGUGCCGAUUGACGUUACCCGCAGAAGAAGCACCGGCUAACUCCGUGCCAGCCGCCGCUGUAA